AUAAAGUCACCAGGCGCAAGCUUGGUGAUGAAAGGGAGCCUCUGCAUAGCAAGCUCCUGCCUGGGGAGGGGCUCGCGGCCCAUCAGCUAGUUGGUGGGGUAACGGCCCACCAAGGCUAAGACGGGUAGCCGGCCUGAGAGGGUGGUCGGCCACACGGGCACUGAGACACGGGCCCGACUCCUACGGGAGGCAGCAAGGGGGAAUCUUGGGCAAUGGGCGAAAGCCUGACCCAGCGACGCCGCGUGGGGGAAGAAAGCCUUCGGGUCGUAAACCCCUGUUCUGGGGGAAGAACCCUGCCUUAGUGAAUAGCUAAGGCAGGCUGACGGUACCCCAGGAGAAAGCCACGGCUAACUGCGUGCCAGCAGCCGCGGUAAUACGCAGGUGGCAAGCGUUGCCCGGAAUCACUGGGCGUAAAGGGUGCGUAGGCGGCUGGGUAAGUCGCAGGUUAAAGCCCGGGGCUCAACCCUGGAAAGGCCUGCGAUACUGCCUGGCUUGAGGGCCGGAGAGGCUGGCGGAAUUCCCGGUGUAGGGGUGAAAUCCGUAGAUAUCGGGUGGAACACCGGUGGGGAAGCUGGCCAGCUGGACGGGCCCUGACGCUGAGGCACGAAAGCGUGGGGAGCAAACCGGAUUAGAUACCCGGGUAGUCCACGCCGUAAACGAUGGGUGCUAGGUUUGGGGAGGUAA
RNAcentral lists this ribosomal RNA (684 nucleotides) under uncultured bacterium. RNAcentral's name for it is "bacterial SSU rRNA". It matches the Rfam family "Bacterial small subunit ribosomal RNA", at positions 173 to 833 of the family's 1533-position model. The record is from RNAcentral.